GACGAACGCUGGCGGCGUGCUUAACACAUGCAAGUCGAACGGAAAGGCCCUGCUUUUGUGGGGUGCUCGAGUGGCGAACGGGUGAGUAACACGUGAGUAACCUGCCCUUGACUUUGGGAUAACUUCAGGAAACUGGGGCUAAUACCGGAUAGGAGCUCCUGCUGCAUGGUGGGGGUUGGAAAGUUUCGGCGGUUGGGGAUGGACUCGCGGCUUAUCAGCUUGUUGGUGGGGUAGUGGCUUACCAAGGCUUUGACGGGUAGCCGGCCUGAGAGGGUGACCGGCCACAUUGGGACUGAGAUACGGCCCAGACUCCUACGGGAGGCAGAGUGGGGAAUAUUGCACAAUGGGCGGAAGCCUGAUGCAGCAACGCCGCGUGCGGGAUGACGGCCUUCGGGUUGUAAACCGCUUUCGCCUGUGACGAAGCGUGAGUGACGGUAAUGGGUAAAGAAGCACCGGCUAACUACGUG
RNAcentral lists this ribosomal RNA (467 nucleotides) under uncultured bacterium. RNAcentral describes it as "partial 16S ribosomal RNA". It matches the Rfam family "Bacterial small subunit ribosomal RNA", at positions 28 to 507 of the family's 1533-position model. The record is from RNAcentral.